GUGAAAUUCCGUCGGAAUCUGGGAGGACCAUCUCCUAAGGCUAAAUACUCUCUAGUGACCGAUAGUGAACCAGUACCGUGAGGGAAAGGUGAAAAGCACCCCGGAAGGGGAGUGAAAUAGAACCUGAAACCGUGUGCUUACAAGUAGUCAGAGCCCGUUAAUGGGUGAUGGCGUGCCUUUUGUAGAAUGAACCGGCGAGUUACGAUUUGAUGCAAGGUUAAGCAGUAAAUGUGGAGCCGUAGCGAAAGCGAGUCUGAAUAGGGCGUUUAGUAUUUGGUCGUAGACCCGAAACCAGGUGAUCUACCCUUGGUCAGGUUGAAGUUCAGGUAACACUGAAUGGAGGACCGAACCGACUUACGUUGAAAAGUGAGCGGAUGAACUGAGGGUAGCGGAGAAAUUCCAAUCGAACCUGGAGAUAGCUGGUUCUCUCCGAAAUAGCUUUAGGGCUAGCCUCAAGUGAUGAUUAUUGGAGGUAGAGCACUGUUUGGACGAGGGGCCCCUCUCGGGUUACCGAAUUCAGACAAACUCCGAAUGCCAAUUAAUUUAACUUGGGAGUCAGAACAUGGGUGAUAAGGUCCGUGUUCGAAAGGGAAACAGCCCAGACCACCAGCUAAGGUCCCAAAAUAUAUGUUAAGUGGAAAAGGAUGUGGCGUUGCCCAGACAACUAGGAUGUUGGCUUAGAAGCAGCCAUCAUUUAAAGAGUGCGUAAUAGCUCACUAGUCGAGUGACACUGCGCCGAAAAUGUACCGGGGCUAAACAUAUUACCGAAGCUGUGGAUUGUCCUUUGGACAAUGGUAGGAGAGCGUUCUAAGGGCGUUGAAGCAUGAUCGUAAGGACAUGUGGAGCGCUUAGAAGUGAGAAUGCCGGUGUGAGUAGCGAAAGACGGGUGAGAAUCCCGUCCACCGAUUGACUAAGGUUUCCAGAGGAAGGCUCGUCCGCUCUGGGUUAGUCGGGUCCUAAGCUGAGGCCGACAGGCGUAGGCGAUGGAUAACAGGUUGAUAUUCCUGUACCACCUAUAAUCGUUUUAAUCGAUGGGGGGACGCAGUAGGAUAGGCGAAGCGUGCGAUUGGAUUGCACGUCUAAGCAGUAAGGCUGAGUAUUAGGCAAAUCCGGUACUCGUUAAGGCUGAGCUGUGAUGGGGAGAAGACAUUGUGUCUUCGAGUCGUUGAUUUCACACUGCCGAGAAAAGCCUCUAGAUAGAAAAUAGGUGCCCGUACCGCAAACCGACACAGGUAGUCAAGAUGAGAAUUCUAAGGUGAGCGAGCGAACUCUCGUUAAGGAACUCGGCAAAAUGACC
Molecule: ribosomal RNA, 1297 nt
Filed under: Staphylococcus aureus
Lineage: Bacteria; Bacillati; Bacillota; Bacilli; Caryophanales; Staphylococcaceae
Description: partial 23S ribosomal RNA
Rfam family: Bacterial large subunit ribosomal RNA
Source: RNAcentral